Molecule: long non-coding RNA, 1178 nt
Organism: Gasterosteus aculeatus aculeatus (three-spined stickleback)
Lineage: Eukaryota; Metazoa; Chordata; Actinopteri; Perciformes; Gasterosteidae
Source: RefSeq, a predicted model, not a curated record
AGCGAGCAGGUCAGCGCUUCAAGGUCCUGCGCUGGCUGACUGACAGUUUGCUCUCGCCGGGCUGAGUGGCCUGAGCAUUUCAUGUGUAAACCAGAGCUGGUCUGGCUAGUUUCAGAUGUCACGGCGAGGAGGCUGGCAGGCGGAGAGCAGCCGCUGCAGAUGCGCUCCGACACUCGCGGACCCCGCGGCCAACGCAGCAACGCGAAAGGCCUGCUCAGGCAACCGGAAGAGGUGACAAAACGCAUCAGGCGAUACAACAUGCCUCGCCAGCAUGAUCAGACAACGCAAUAAAGUGAAGCUGGAACCAAGUAGCAGUGCGGUACACAGGGAGCCACAGGACAACAGGCAGUGCCCAGAAAAAAAGAUGUCAUUGUGAACCUUGACCCCGCCCUGAUCCACAUCCACUCUCCACCAGGAAGCCGAGCACAUGCCUGAACAAUCAACUCCGGCGCUGCCAUCAAUUUUGCACAGAGCGAAGAAAAGAUGAAUCACCCAGGUUCAGGCAAAAGAGAGAUGGGUAAAAACAUGAGGAUAAAAGGCUUUUCCUAUGAAAGUGAGAGCGAAAAACAUGUUUUUUAGUCCCUGAAAAGUAACUGUCACAGGAGUGACAAGGAGGCACUAUUAAGAGCCUCCGCUCAUUCAGCCGGUUUGUCUGAACUGUUCAACAAACAAUUACAGGGAGUCAUGGGGGUUAUGUUUAUCUGGAGACCUGGCCUGUGAGGAGCUGCCUUAAAAGCCACGGUGAAUUUAAGAGGCAAGUACGUCUGCUUCAUAAACCUGUGAUUUUUGCCUGGAUAUUGAUUUCUGUUUGACGCAGGAGUCUACGGUCAGCAGGAGGCUGAUGGCAACGUGUCCUGCUUUCUGUGCAGGUCACACUGAAGAACUACACCGAAGAAUCUCGCUCAUAUUGGCCCUGUGUUAGAUAAAUGAAAUAUAGCCAGUUAAAGCAUCUGGUGCAAAAGAUGUUUACAGUGCAGCAGUGCAUCGUGGGACCGACGCAUGGCUUCCUUCAGCCUUUAUCAUGGCGCCCGUGCCAAUCAGUGAUUGGUCACAAGUACAUAUUCGCACAUCAAUUAUUUCAUUUUAAUGUUUGAUUUUUUUUAAUAAACGGUGGCUAUACAGCAGGGCAGAGUGGUGACGGGGUGUUUAGCACUGGUUCGAAAGCACUGAGCGGUUCC